Molecule: ribosomal RNA, 443 nt
Filed under: uncultured bacterium
Lineage: Bacteria
Description: bacterial SSU rRNA
Rfam family: Bacterial small subunit ribosomal RNA
Source: RNAcentral
CCAGACUCCUACGGGAGGCAGCAGUGGGGAAUAUUGCGCAAUGGGGGAAACCCUGACGCAGCAACGCCGCGUGCGGGAUGAAGGCUUUCGGGUUGUAAACCGCUUUCAGCAGGGAAGAUAAUGACGGUACCUGCAGAAGAAGCCCCGGCUAACUACGUGCCAGCAGCCGCGGUAAUACGUAGGGGGCAAGCGUUAUCCGGAUUCAUUGGACGUAAAGCGCGCGCAGGCGGGCCGCUAAGCGGGGCCUCUAAUCUGGGGGCUCAACCUCAAGCCGGGUCCCGAACUGGCAGCCUCGAGUGCGGUAGGGGUAAGCGGAAUUCCCGGUGUAGCGGUGGAAUGCGCAGAUAUCGGGAAGAACACCGAUUGCGAAGGCAGCUUACUAAACUGCCACUGACAUUGAUGCUCGAAAGUGUGGGUAUCAAACAGGAUUAGAUACCCCCGUA